This is a non-coding RNA of Oryza glaberrima (African rice), 208 nucleotides long. The record is from Rfam. Lineage: Eukaryota; Viridiplantae; Streptophyta; Magnoliopsida; Poales; Poaceae.
AAAAAGACAAACCCUGGUGUUUCCGUGUCCAACGUUUGACCGUCCGUCUUAUUUGAAAAAAUUAUAAAAAAAAAUAAAAAAGACAAGUCACGCAUAAAAUAUUAAUCAUGUUUUAUCAUCUAACAACAAUAAAAAUAUGAAUUAUAAAAAAAAUUCAUAUAAGACGGACAAUUAAAGUUGGACAUGGAAACCCUGAGUUUGCCUUUUU